Molecule: transfer RNA, 63 nt
Filed under: Phraortes sp. Iriomote Island
Lineage: Eukaryota; Metazoa; Arthropoda; Insecta; Phasmatodea; Lonchodidae
Description: tRNA-Pro
Source: RNAcentral
CAAAGGGUAGUUUAAUAAAAUAAUAGUUUUGGGGACUUUUGAUGGGUUUAUACCUUCCUUUGA